Molecule: long non-coding RNA, 3680 nt
Organism: Neofelis nebulosa (Clouded leopard)
Lineage: Eukaryota; Metazoa; Chordata; Mammalia; Carnivora; Felidae
Exons: 4
Source: RefSeq, a predicted model, not a curated record
CGGCCAUCUUGGAAGAGGGCGGAAAGCCGCCUGAGCCCGGCAGGAGGGAGGGCGCUGGCUUUCCGACGGAGCACAACUUGGAGAAGCAGAAGGUGUGCAGUUCAAUGGCAUUGAGUGCGUUCACAUUGUUGCGUGAGAACUAUCACCAACAACCAUUGCUGGAACUUUUUCAUCUCAGACUGAAACUCUGUACUCAUUUAAACCGGAAUGCAGUUGGGAAGGUGGAACAGCAUCCCAGAAUCCCAGACUAAAGACCGUAUCAUAACUACUCACAGGUGGCCGCUCUUCCUUAUUCAUCUGCCCAGUCUCUUGGUUGGUUGGUUGGUUGGUUGGUUGGUUGGUUGGUUUGGCCCAGAGAUUCCCCACAUAAAUAAACUGCCUUGAAAUACACCAGCAAUAAAUUCAAGAGAUCAAAACGUCAUUUUAGCAGCAGAGGGCGCUCUCAUCUCUCUCUCUGGAGGCGAUCAUAGCUUUAUUUCAGUGUUGUAGUUACGUGACUGCCUGUGCCUGAGUUAUCUGGGGUGCUUAUUUAGAAUGCAGGCUCAUGAACCCCAACCCCAGAGACUUUGAUGCAGAACAUUUGGGUGGGACUGGAAGUACGUAUGUUAAGUUAGCUCCUCUGCUGAUUCUAAGGCAGCCAGGGGCAAGCACCAUUGAUCUGGUCUAUGUCAAGUUUUCUGGAGAUCCUUGGAGCUGUCCGUGGUGCCAAGGAGAAUGCCUCAACACUCCCCAAUCUCUCUCCACCAACCUACUCCCUCUACCAAAUCCUGUCUCUCCUCCUGGCAUCCCUGGUCUCAUCCAGGGGUACCGCCUUUAUUCAGUCAUUCAUGCAUGAAAGUUGGAGAGACUUAACUUAUUCCUCUCCCCGGCCUCCUAAAACCAUUCCAUCUCCAAGUCUUAUACGUUUUACACUGAAAUGUCUCUCUCAUCUUUUCUCUUUUAUCUAUCCUUAUUGUCAUUGUCCCAAUUCAGGCCUUUAGCGUGGACCAUUGCACCGGCCUCCUCAUGGGUCACCCUUCAUCAGACCCCACUCAGAUGUCUCCAUCUUGGAUAAGCUUUCUUCAGUGCCCACAAGCAAGAAAUAGUUACUCUCUCCACUCUUCUACUGACAUACAUGAUAACCCUCUACCCUGGUCUGUCUGUCACACUGUAGAGAAAUCUUAGCCUCCUCCGUUAGUCUGGGAAGGAACAUGUCUGGUCUGAUUCAUCUCUGUAUGCCAUUUGCAGGGGCUAGAACAAAGAGGUCCUCAGAAAGUAGUGUGAAUGAAUAUUUUUUUAUUUUAUUUACUUUUGAGAUGGGGGGGUGUGGAAGAGAGAGGGAGGGAGAGAGAAUCCCAGGCAGGCUCCAUGAGAUCAUAACCUGAGCCGAAAUCAAGAGUCAGAUGCUUAACUGAGUGAGCCACCCAGGCGCCCUGGAAUGCAUAAUUUAAUAGUUGUUUUCCACUUCAUUUGCCAAAUCUGGAAAGGCCAUUCCGUGCAGAGAUAUUCGUGUGCAUUUGGCUUUGAAUCUCAAAGAUCUUCUGCCUAAGGGACUUUGGGCAUGCCCUCCCUUCUGCCUAGAACACUCUCUAGAACUCUGCCUAUCUCUCCUUCAAGAUUUAGUGUAAAUGAUACAUCUACAGAGAUACCUCUGAUUUCUCUGUCUAAAUCAGAUCUCUUCAGAUGAAAGAACAAUACAGGAGAGAAAAACAAGAAGAAUCACAAGGCAGUAUACAAUUGAGUGCCAAAUAAGGCAAGGAGUGAAAAAAUUGUUUAGGAGUUCAAGGAAUGGAGAAGUUACUGUGAAUUAGGAGGCUAGAUAAGACUUCCUAUAAGAGAUGGAAUAUAAACUUUGAGUCUUCAAGAUGGUGUAAGAAUGAGAUAGAUAGAAAGUAGGUGGGGUGGGGAGCCUGGGUGGCUCAGUCAGUUAAGCAUCCAACUCUUGAUUUCAGCUCAGGUUGUGAUCUCACUGUUGUGGGCUCGAGCCCCACACUUAGUCAGUUAGGCAUCCAACUCGAUUUUGGCUCACGUUGUGAUCUCAUGGUUCAUGAGUUUGAGCCUCAUGUCAGGUUCUGCACUGCGCGGAGCCUGCUUGGAUUCUGUCUCUCUCCCUCUCUCUCUGCUCCUCCCCCGCUCACGUGAGCAUGUACUCUCUCUCUCUUUCAAAAUAAAUAAACUGUUUUUAACAAAUUAAAAAAAAAAAGAAAAGAAAGUAGGUAGGGUGGUCAUUCCAGAGGCUGCGGGCAGGACUAAAAUGUGCAGUCAUGCAGGUGGCCCAGGAGGCCUCAAAGUUGGAGGAAUCCAACUUGUACUCUGCCCACCAAGCUCCAGCCAUUGAGGCUUUGUCCACUAGAAGGGAACACCUUCUCCAAUUGGUUCAAGGGCUCCCAGGGCUAGUGGAGGUCCCGUACUGAGGGGACAGUGAGGAAAAGGCACUGUACAAGUAGACUUAAGAAGGGGAUAAUCAUGUCUCUUUGGGGGGCAGGGAGCAGACCACACUGGUUGAAACACAAGCCUUAGAGGAAGGGAGAACAGACAAUGAGGCCCAUUUGAGCUCAUUGUCAGGCCUUUGACCACCUUGGUAAACUUUGACUCCUCCAGAAACUGUGUUAGUGGAAAGUCCAACCCCAAAUGGGACUCCUCAAAGAGAAGCUUCAGUUACAGCUGCUGAGGAGCAAACAGCAGGGCCUGGAAGAAUACAGAGACAAAUGAGGACAGCUGUGGUGCGGGAGGCACGAGAUCUUGGUUGGAAUUUGCCUCUCCAUUUGGACCAACUAUAUCAGCCUCGGGGUCUUCAUAUCCUUAGACCCAGAAGUCCAUCCCACUUCCAGAGGUUUCCACUGUGAAUCAGAAAGGCAGACUAAGCUUUCCAUGGUGAUAUGUUACCAGGAAAAACCCUCUCUGCCCCCGGCACUGUGCUGCGUAUUUUAUAUAUGCCUUGCCAUCUACAUACAGCAGCCCUGGGAUAGGUCCCAUCAGAAAUCCCAUUUUACAGAUCAAGAAAGAAAUUGUUACGCAGAGAAGGCACUUGCCCACGUCACGCAGCUAGUAAGGGGUUCUAGCUCAGCAUGGUCUGACACUGGCACCCGGCUCCCAACACCCACGCUAACUCCCACACCAGGACUUUGUGCACAAAAAUACUCAACAUAUGGAAAGGAAGGAAAAAAAAAAUAGAGAAACCAAAAACCAAACCCUUAACUAUAGAGAACAAGCAGAUGGUUACCAGAGGGGUAGUGGGUGGGGGGUGGAGGAAAGAGGUGAAAGGGAUUAAAAAGUACAAUGAUGAUGCGCAGAGUCAUGUAGAGAAUUAUUGAAUCACUAUAUUAUACACCUGGAACUAAUAUAAUGCUGUAUGUUCAUGAUACUGGAAUUAAAAUUUUUAAAAAAUUAAUAAAAGCUAAAAAAAAUACUCAACAAGUGUUUACACGUAACUGAACCCAUAUGUAUGUCUAUGUAUUUGUAUAUAAAUAUAUAUACACGCUAAUCCUCAGCCAUGUGAAAAUUGUAUGCAGAGAAAAACACGAAGCAAGUAUGCCAAUAUAGUAAUAGUGUUUAUCCUGGGUGGCGGAAUUAGGAGGACUUCGUUUCUUCUUUAUUUUUUUCUAUAUUUUCCAAAUUUUCUGCAAUGAACAUGCAUUGUUCUGAUAACUGGAAAACAUAUAAUUUUUAAAUAAAAUAAACAUUCUUUGAUUGUUCUAUCA